GUGAGGAAUAUUGGUCAAUGGGCGAAAGCCUGAACCAGCCAUGUCGCGUGAAGGAUGAAGGUCCUAUGGAUUGUAAACUUCUUUUGCAGGAGGGUAAAGUGAGCUACGUGUAGUUCAUUGCAAGUACCCUGCGAAUAAGCAUCGGCUAACUCCGUGCCAGCAGCCGCGGUAAUACGGAGGAUGCGAGCGUUAUCCGGAUUUAUUGGGUUUAAAGGGUGCGUAGGCGGACUAAUUAGUCAGCGGUGAAAUUUUGCGGCUCAACCGUAAAACUGCCGUUGAAACUGUUAGUCUUGAGUGCGGUAGAGGUAGGCGGAAUGUGUGGUGUAGCGGUGAAAUGCUUAGAUAUCACACAGAACACCGAUUGCGUAGGCAGCUUACUGGAGCGCAACUGACGCUGAGGCACGAAAGCGUGGGGAUCGAACAGGAUUAGAAACACCAGUAGUCC
RNAcentral lists this ribosomal RNA (445 nucleotides) under uncultured bacterium. Its description in RNAcentral is "partial 16S ribosomal RNA". It matches the Rfam family "Bacterial small subunit ribosomal RNA", at positions 354 to 796 of the family's 1533-position model. The record is from RNAcentral.